RNAcentral lists this ribosomal RNA (253 nucleotides) under uncultured bacterium. RNAcentral describes it as "partial 16S ribosomal RNA". It matches the Rfam family "Bacterial small subunit ribosomal RNA", at positions 524 to 776 of the family's 1533-position model. The record is from RNAcentral.
UACGUGGGGCGCAAGCGUUAUCCGGAAUUAUUGGGCGUAAAGAGCUCGUAGGCGGUUUGUCGCGUCUGCCGUGAAAGUCCGGGGCUCAACUCCGGAUCUGCGGUGGGUACGGGCAGACUAGAGUGCAGUAGGGGAGACUGGAAUUCCUGGUGUAGCGGUGAAAUGCGCAGAUAUCAGGAGGAACACCGAUGGCGAAGGCAGGUCUCUGGGCUGUAACUGACGCUGAGGAGCGAAAGCAUGGGGAGCGAACAGG